This 254-nucleotide ribosomal RNA is filed under the name uncultured bacterium. Its description in RNAcentral is "partial 16S ribosomal RNA". It matches the Rfam family "Bacterial small subunit ribosomal RNA", at positions 524 to 776 of the family's 1533-position model. The record is from RNAcentral.
UAUGUAGGGGGCAAGCGUUGUCCGGAUUUAUUGGGCGUAAAGAGCUCGUAGGUGGUUCGGUAAGUCGGAUGUGAAAUCUCCAGGCUCAACCUGGAGGGGUCAUUCGAUACUGCCGUGACUAGAGGUCGGUAGGGGAGUGUGGAAUUCCUGGUGGAGCGGUGAAAUGCGCAGAUAUCAGGAGGAACACCCGUAGCGAAGGCGGCUCUCUGGGCCGAUACUGACGCUGAGGAGCGAAAGCGUGGGGAGCGAACAGG